AGGGCCUAGAAAGCAAAGGACAGCAUUCAGUGAUUGCCUUGAUGGAAAGUUGCUUUCACUAUUUAAGGUCUUUACAGCAUAUCAUCAUUAUAUCACCUUGAGGUCUGUCAGACAUGUAUUCAGGGGGAGAUAAGCACCUGCUUCUUCUUGUCCCUUCCCCCAGUUGACUUGCAGCAACUGAAUUCCCCUUUGGAUUUUUGUUUGCCUGCUGCAUUUCUGUGCAUCUGGGUCCAGGUCUGGAACCUGAUGCAGAAGUUUCCAUUGAGGAAUCACAUGCCCACAAGAAGCAGACCUGAAUGUCCAUAAGGCUGCCAUGAGUUGAGGAUUGAGAGAACUUUCUAGGCAAGUUCUGGAGGCAGCUCCACAACUGCCAUUCCACAUCUGGUUUUGCAGAAUUUAAGACAUGCAUUACCGUGACCAGAUUUGUUAUCUCCAACAAUAAGCAAAGCUGGUGCAUUGCCAUUUUCUGGCUCAAAACUACAGCUGUCAUUUGGGCAUUCAGAAAAUGCUUGAUUAAGAAACAUCUUCAGAUGGUCUUUGGGGUUCAUGGACAAAGAUUGUCAGCACUUAAAGAUCGCUUUUAAUGAUGAAAGUUUGGAAAUGUUUUUACAGCAUAAUAACUAAAUAAACAGUUUUGUUUGAUUCUAUGCUCAUGCCAGCAUUUCCAAAUCUAUUAUGUUUGAUUUUGGAUAACUAGGGCUUAUGGGAAUUGAAGUCCAACCCAUCAGGAGGCAAUUCAUAGCAGAUUAGAGAAACCUACUUGUCCAGCCUAGUUUCUGACUUCUUUCUGACUCACUCACAAGUCAUUUCAGUCCACUUUUCCAGCUUCCUGUAGAAGUUUGUUAUUGUUUUCAGGCCUUUUCCUUUGUUUGGAAAUUAUUUCGGGUAAAAUGAUCAAUCUGGGAUGAAUCUCGUAACAAGCUUCCCACCACAUCUCAGAAUCUAAAUGGAGACAAGCUUUUCCCAGAGUUUCUUUCCAUUGUUGCAGGGAGGACUGGAGGAAAGAGGUGAAGGAAGGGAGGGGGCUGCAUGGGUGAAGCAGCUGAUCAAAGCCAUGAGAUGUGGCCUAAUGAGUCACUGUCUGAGAAAGCCCUGGGCGAAAGCUGAGGCAGAAGGGAAAAGGGGCCACGUGGCCUUUGUAGGGCUGAAUUUGACUUCACAGACGAGAAGGAAAACAUCCUGAUUUCACCCGCGUCUCUGUUUUUGCAUACUUUGCCAGCCCGUUCUGUUGUGUGUGUUGCGGGUGUGUGUGAAGGACAGUGCUGAGUAUUUCUAUGCCUCCGUUAUCUAAAUUCUUGAGGUCUGUUGGACAUGUAUUAAGGGGGAGAUAAGCACCUGCUUCUUCCUGUCCCUUCCCCCAGUUGACUUGCAGCAACUGAAUUCCCCUAAUGGAAGGCAUGAUGGGGAAGGAUGGCUGGUAAAUGAGUCAGACCCAAUCGAUGUGCCAGUGAGUCACCAGCUGGGUGGGUAACAGCAACAGGAUUCCCGCUCUGCACAUACAAAGGCUCUUUGAUACUGCUUGCACAAGGUCACUGCCUCCCUUCUUGUCUCACAGCACUCCUCCCUCCUCAUCACUUCUUGACUGCCCCAUUCUUGCUGUUGGAGCCACCAAACUAGCAGAAUGCUGGCAAUCACAGCUGCCACAAAGGACUCAGGACAAGCAGAUUUCCAAGAAAGUGGUGUUUUCCUGUCUGCACCUUCCAUCUCAGAGGAACCCUGUUUCAGAGCAGACCCUGUUUUAUUUCACAUCAAGGUAUGAUCUCAGAGAACACAAACGAAGUGAAACCUUGCCAUCAGUAUAGGACUGGGAGACUAAAACUGAAGAAUAUGCAAGAAUGGAAAAACGGACGCUAUACAUUCAUAGCAGAAGUCUAACCAAAUUCAGUCGGGAAUGGUUCCCUGAUAUACAACAUAUCACACAGCAAGGCACGCUAAGACACUUAGAAUAUGUUUUUUGGAGAAUAAGAGAAAUUGUUUAAAAACUGACAAUAACAACAACAACUAAAAUGAUCCAAACAGAAAUGAGUAAUAAUAUCUAAAGUAAAGUGUAAAAAUAUUCAGGUAGCAAAUAAUGGUUGGGGGAGAAAGAAAGAGGGGGAAAGAAAGAGGAGGGGGGCUGCUAGAAUGCCAGAAUGCCCUUUUAAUAAUACUGUAUUUUUAAAUUUUGUUUGUUUGUUUUGCUUUUUAUCCAAUUACUGAAGGACUUUGAAUAAAUUGUGCUUGGAUAGUUGCAAAAAAAUUGUUAAGCUUCUAAAUGUUGCUUCAAUGAAAUUCGUCAAG
This is a long non-coding RNA of Python bivittatus (Burmese python), 2280 nucleotides long. RefSeq lists it as uncharacterized. Lineage: Eukaryota; Metazoa; Chordata; Lepidosauria; Squamata; Pythonidae. The record is from RefSeq and is a predicted model, not a curated record.